CUAUCAUAAUCAUUGGUGACGCAAGACUAAAAUUGAAAAUAAGAGUAAACACAGAUGAAUAGAGUGACAAAAUAAAUAAGUUAGAGAUGUGUAACCUUUAAAAGAUCAACCUAUAUCAUAAAUCACUUGAUCUGUACAUUUGAUAGAUAAGAAAAAAAAUUACUCAUAAAAGAUAGUAAAAAAAGGAAAAUAUGACAAUUUUUCAGCAGUUCGUAUUUUUAUACACUUUGUAUUUUGUUUAUACAAUCAUAAAGUGAUGAUGAACCAGAGAUCUCUAUUAAAUAAUUUAAACUAAAUAUUUCUAUUAAGUACAUCCUUAAUUAUAAAAAUCAAUCAAACAUGUAAUGAGUAACAAACCUUGACAUUAAUUAGUUUAGAAAGAUAUGUAUUGAACAUCAAAAUUAAUUAAAUAUAUACUUAUAUCCUAAAGAACAUAAAUUCAUAUUCUAUGUUCUGAUAAAUAAAAUAUUAACAUAAGUUAUAUAGAUUAAAAAAUAUGCUAAAAUACUAAUUAUAAGUAGAAAAUGAAAAAGAAAAAAAGA
RNAcentral lists this long non-coding RNA (542 nucleotides) under Lathyrus oleraceus (garden pea). Its description in RNAcentral is "Pisum sativum (pea) long non-coding RNA (PSAT_LNC040559)". Lineage: Eukaryota; Viridiplantae; Streptophyta; Magnoliopsida; Fabales; Fabaceae. The record is from RNAcentral.